This 253-nucleotide ribosomal RNA is filed under the name uncultured bacterium. RNAcentral's name for it is "partial 16S ribosomal RNA". It matches the Rfam family "Bacterial small subunit ribosomal RNA", at positions 524 to 776 of the family's 1533-position model. The record is from RNAcentral.
UACGGAGGGUGCAAGCGUUAUCCGGAUUUACUGGGCUUAAAGGGUGCGUAGGUGGGCAGGUAAGUCAGUGGUGAAAUCUUCAAGCUUAACUUGGAAACUGCCAUUGAUACUAUUUGUCUUGAAUUAUCUGGAGGUAAGCGGAAUAUGUCAUGUAGCGGUGAAAUGCUUAGAUAUGACAUAGAACACCCAUUGCGAAGGCAGCUUACUGCGGAUAUAUUGACACUGAGGCACGAAAGCGUGGGGAUCAAACAGG